Molecule: ribosomal RNA, 253 nt
Filed under: uncultured bacterium
Lineage: Bacteria
Description: partial 16S ribosomal RNA
Rfam family: Bacterial small subunit ribosomal RNA
Source: RNAcentral
UACGUAGGGGGCAAGCGUUGUCCGGACUUACUGGGCGUAAAGAGCGCGCAGGCGGUCGAUUUAGUCGCGUGUGAAAGCCCCCGGCUCAACUGGGGAGGGUCACGCGAUACUGAUCGACUCGAAGGCAGGAGAGGGUAGUGGAAUUCCCGGUGUAGUGGUGAAAUGCGUAGAUAUCGGGAGGAACACCAGUGGCGAAGGCGGCGACCUGGGUCGAUACUGACGCUGAGGUGCGAAAGCGUGGGGAGCAAACAGG